Molecule: ribosomal RNA, 496 nt
Filed under: uncultured bacterium
Lineage: Bacteria
Description: partial 16S ribosomal RNA
Rfam family: Bacterial small subunit ribosomal RNA
Source: RNAcentral
GAUGAACGCUGGCGGCGUGCCUAAUACAUGCCAGUCGAGCGAACGGACGAGAAGCUUGCUUCUCUGAUGUUAGCGGCGGACGGGUGAGUAACACGUGGAUAACCUACCUAUAAGACUGGGAUAACUUCGGGAAACCGAGCUAAUACCGGAUAAUAUUUUGAACCGCAUGGUUCAAAAGUGAAAGACGGUCUUGCUGUCACUUAUAGAUGGAUCCGCGCUGCAUUAGCUAGUUGGUAAGGUAACGGCUUACCAAGGCAACGAUGCAUAGCCGACCUGAGAGGGUGAUCGGCCACACUGGAACUGAGACACGGUCCAGACUCCUACGGGAGGCAGCAGUAGGGAAUCUUCCGCAAUGGGCGAAAGCCUGACGGAGCAACGCCGCGUGAGUGAUGAAGGUCUUCGGAUCGUAAAACUCUGUUAUUAGGGAAGAACAUAUGUGUAAGUAACUGUGCACAUCUUGACGGUACCUAAUCAGAAAGCCACGGCUAACUACGUG